GAUUAGAUACCCUGGUAGUCCACGCUGUAAACGAUGUCGAUUUGGAGUUUGUUGCCUAGAGUGAUGGGCUCCGAAGCUAACGCGAUAAAUCGACCGCCUGGGGAGUACGGCCGCAAGGUUAAAACUCAAAUGAAUUGACGGGGGCCCGCACAAGCGGUGGAGCAUGUGGUUUAAUUCGAUGCAACGCGAAGAACCUUACCUGGUCUUGACAUCCAUAGAAUUCUGCAGAGAUGUGGGAGUGCCUUCGGGAACUAUGAGACAGGUGCUGCAUGGCUGUCGUCAGCUCGUGUUGUGAAAUGUUGGGUUAAGUCCCGCAACGAGCGCAACCCUUAUUCUUUGUUGCCAGCGAUUUGGUCGGGAACUCAAAGGAGACUGCCGUUGAUAAAGCGGAGGAAGGUGGGGACGACGUCAAGUCAUCAUGGCCCUUACGACCAGGGCUACACACGUGCUACAAUGGCGUAUACAAAGGGAAGCGAAGGUGCGAGCUGGAGCGGAUCUCAUAAAGUACGUCUAAGUUCGGAUUGGAGUCUGCAACUCGACUCCAUGAAGUCGGAAUCGCUAGUAAUCGUAGAUCAGAAUGCUACGGUGAAUACGUUCCCGGGCCUUGUACACACCGCCCGUCACACCAUGGGAGUGGGUUGCACCAGAAGUAGAUAGCUUAACCGCGAGGGGGGCGUUUACCACGGUGUGAUUCAUGACUGGGGUGAAGUCGUAACAAGGUAACCA
This 726-nucleotide ribosomal RNA is filed under the name uncultured Enterobacteriaceae bacterium. RNAcentral's name for it is "bacterial SSU rRNA". It matches the Rfam family "Bacterial small subunit ribosomal RNA", at positions 776 to 1502 of the family's 1533-position model. Lineage: Bacteria; Pseudomonadati; Pseudomonadota; Gammaproteobacteria; Enterobacterales; Enterobacteriaceae. The record is from RNAcentral.